CCUACGGGAGACAGCAGUGAGGAAUAUUGGUCAAUGGCCGGAAGCCUGAACCAGCGAAGCCGCGUGAAGGACGAAGGUGCCAAGCAUUUUAAACUUCUUUUGUAAAGGGACAAAAUCAGGCUCGAGAGCCUGACCGAGGUGACUUUAAGAAAAAGCAUCGGCUAACCCCGUGCCAGCAGCCGCGGUAAUACGGAGGAUGCGAGAGGUAUCCGGAAUGAUUGGGUUAAAAGUGUGCGUAGGCGGGCUGUUAAGUCAGCGGUAAAAGCCCGGGGCUCAACCCCGGCGAGCCGUUGAAACUGGCUGUCUUGAGAUGGCGAGAGGUAAGCGGAAUGCCCAGUGUAGCGGGGAAAUGCUUAGAUAUUGCGAAGAACUCCGAUUGCGAAGGCAGCAUACCGGCGGCGUUCUGACGCUGAGGCACGAAAGCGUGGGUAUCGAACAGGAUUAGAUACCCCUGUAGUC
Molecule: ribosomal RNA, 459 nt
Filed under: uncultured bacterium
Lineage: Bacteria
Description: partial 16S ribosomal RNA
Rfam family: Bacterial small subunit ribosomal RNA
Source: RNAcentral